UACGUAGGGACCAAGCGUUGUUCGGAUUUACUGGGCGUAAAGGGCGCGUAGGCGGCGCGGUAAGUCACUUGUGAAAUCUCUGAGCUUAACUCAGAACGGCCAAGUGAUACUGCAGUGCUAGAGUGUGGAAGGGGCAAUCGGAAUUCUUGGUGUAGCGGUGAAAUGCGUAGAUAUCAGGAGGAACACCGGUGGUGUAGACGGCUUUCUGGACCGUAACUGACGCUGAGACACGAAAGCGUGGGUAGCAAACAGG
Molecule: ribosomal RNA, 253 nt
Filed under: uncultured bacterium
Lineage: Bacteria
Description: partial 16S ribosomal RNA
Rfam family: Bacterial small subunit ribosomal RNA
Source: RNAcentral